GAUGAACGCUAGCGACAGGCUUAACACAUGCAAGUCGAGGGGCAGCGAGGGCGUAGCAAUACGCCUGUCGGCGACCGGCGCACUGGUGAGUAACACGUAUGCGACCUGCCCCCUACAGGGGUAUAACCCGUAGAAAUGCGGACUAAUCCCCCACUAGUCCUGAGUGCUGCAUGGCAUUCAGGGGAAAGGUCAGCCGGUAGGGGAUGGGCAUGCGGCGCAUUAGCUAGUUGGCGGGGCAACAGCCCACCAAGCCGACGAUCGGUAGCCGGACUGAGAGGUUGAUCGGCCACAUUGGGACUGAGACACGGCCCAG
RNAcentral lists this ribosomal RNA (313 nucleotides) under uncultured bacterium. Its description in RNAcentral is "bacterial SSU rRNA". It matches the Rfam family "Bacterial small subunit ribosomal RNA", at positions 28 to 334 of the family's 1533-position model. The record is from RNAcentral.